This 776-nucleotide ribosomal RNA is filed under the name uncultured Neocallimastigales. Its description in RNAcentral is "partial large subunit ribosomal RNA". It matches the Rfam family "Eukaryotic large subunit ribosomal RNA", at positions 19 to 650 of the family's 3401-position model. Lineage: Eukaryota; Fungi; Neocallimastigomycota; Neocallimastigomycetes; Neocallimastigales. The record is from RNAcentral.
CGAGCACGCGCGUGUGGCAUAUCAAUAAGCGGAGGAAAAGAAACUAACAAGGAUUCCCUUAGUAACGGCGAGUGAAGCGGGAAGAGCUCAAAUUUGAAAUCUUCAAGGUUCUACCUUGACGAAUUGUAGUUUAUAGAAGUGUUUUCUGUUAGUAGGAGUGGUAAAAGUUCUUUGGAAUAGGACAUCAUAGAGGGUGAGAAUCCCGUAUUUGACCAUUACUUCCAGCGUUGUGAUACACUUUCAACGAGUCGGAUUGUUUGGGAAUGCAGUCCAAAAUGGGUGGUAAAUUUCAUCUAAAGCUAAAUAUUGGCGAGAGACCGAUAGCGAACAAGUACCGUGAGGGAAAGAUGAAAAGAACUUUGAAAAGAGAGUUAAACAGUACGUGAAAUUGUCAAAAGGGAAGCGUUUGACACCAGUGUUGUUUUUCCGAAAAUCAAUUACGAAUGUUUUGUUUUUGAGGAGUUAUGACUUCAUCGGCUUGCUCCUUUCUUUACGAAACUUUCUUAAUGCACUUUUCGGUUAACAAGUCAACAUCAAUUUCUUUUGUUGUAAAAGGGUAUGAGGAAGGUGGCUUUCUUUUCGGAGAAAGUGUUUAUAGCCUUGUGCCUCUGCAAUCGGAGAGAUUGAGGUCUGCAGCGUAGAUCCUUCGGGGUUAGAUACGUUUGUGCUAAGUUAUAGCUUUUCAUAGACAACUUGUUGACUAUGUUUAGUCUUGUAGCUUACUCGCUGACGCUAUUUUACCUACGCUUAGGAUGUUGAGUAGCGACAUACGGCAC